UACGUAGGGUGCAAGCGUUGUCCGGAAUUAUUGGGCGUAAAGAGCUUGUAGGCGGUUUGUCGCGUCUGCUGUGAAAUUUCGGGGCUCAACCCCGAACUUGCAGUGGGUACGGGCAGACUAGAGUGUGGUAGGGGAGACUGGAAUUCCUGGUGUAGCGGUGAAAUGCGCAGAUAUCAGGAGGAACACCGGUGGCGAAGGCGGAUCUCUGGGCCUGUUCUGACGCUGAGGCGCGAAAGCUAGGGGAGCGAACAGG
RNAcentral lists this ribosomal RNA (253 nucleotides) under uncultured bacterium. Its description in RNAcentral is "partial 16S ribosomal RNA". It matches the Rfam family "Bacterial small subunit ribosomal RNA", at positions 524 to 776 of the family's 1533-position model. The record is from RNAcentral.